Molecule: non-coding RNA, 396 nt
Organism: Bacteroidetes bacterium GWA2_32_17
Lineage: Bacteria; Pseudomonadati; Bacteroidota
Source: Rfam
GGGGCUGAACUGGUUUUGACAGCAAGAGUAUGGGUUUGUAAGCAUGCCGAGCCUUGGGAUUUAACGCUCGUAAAAGUGAAUUCCUAUGUCAAUAAUUGACAACAAUAAUUUCGCUCUCGCAGCUUAAUCGUUUAACGAUUAUUGCUUAAUCCAGUCUGCCAGGCAGAUAUGGACGAGUGCUCCGCAGAAAUUUCUCCUCGCUGUUUCUGUAUAUGGAGUAUCGAAUCGCUGGGAUAGCAAAGGUAAGUUCCGAUACCUGAGCGAAACUUAAGGGACUAAGGUAAAUGUAGGUUUUGUUUUGCCGGCACUUACUCUAAAAUCAAUAAAACAAUAAGCAUGUAGAAAGCAUUUUGGUGCCUUGUUUGGACCCGGGUUCGAAUCCCGGCAGCUCCACUA